GAUGAACGCUGGCGGCGUGCCUAAUACAUGCAAGUCGAGCGAACAGACGAGGAGCUUGCUCCUCUGACGUUAGCGGCGGACGGGUGAGUAACACGUGGAUAACCUACCUAUAAGACUGGGAUAACUUCGGGAAACCGGAGCUAAUACCGGAUAAUAUAUUGAACCGCAUGGUUCAAUAGUGAAAGACGGUUUUGCUGUCACUUAUAGAUGGAUCCGCGCCCCAUUAGCUAGUUGGUAAGGUAACGGCUUACGAAGGCAACGAUAGUUAGCCGACUUGAGAGGGUAAUCUGACACACUGGAACCCAUAUACGGUAAUCACUCCUCCGGGAGCCAUCCAAAGAUAACUUCGCGCAAUAAGAGAAAGUUUGACGGAACAACGCCGCAUCAGUAAUGAUGGUAUUCUUAUCGUAAAACUCUGUGAUCAGGCAAAAACAAAUAUGUAAGUAACUUAGCACUUCUUGACGGUACCUAACCAGAAUGCCACGGCUAACUACGUG
Molecule: ribosomal RNA, 497 nt
Filed under: uncultured bacterium
Lineage: Bacteria
Description: partial 16S ribosomal RNA
Rfam family: Bacterial small subunit ribosomal RNA
Source: RNAcentral